This 442-nucleotide ribosomal RNA is filed under the name uncultured bacterium. RNAcentral describes it as "bacterial SSU rRNA". It matches the Rfam family "Bacterial small subunit ribosomal RNA", at positions 355 to 787 of the family's 1533-position model. The record is from RNAcentral.
UGGGGAAUUUUGGACAAUGGGGGCAACCCUGAUCCAGCCAUGCCGCGUGCAGGAUGAAGGCCUUCGGGUUGUAAACUGCUUUUGUUAGGAACGAAACGGUGGAUGUUAAUACCAUCUACUAAUGACGGUACCUAAAGAAUAAGCACCGGCUAACUACGUGCCAGCAGCCGCGGUAAUACGUAGGGUGCAAGCGUUAAUCGGAAUUACUGGGCGUAAAGCGUGCGCAGGCGGCUUGAUAAAGACAGGUGUGAAAAUCCCCCGAGUCAACUUGGGAAUAGCACUUGUGACUGUCAGGCUAGAGUAUGUCAGAGGGAGGUGGAAUUCCAAGUGUAGCAGUGAAAUGCGUAGAUAUUUGGAAGAACACCGAUGGCGAAGGCAGCCUCCUGGGAUAAUACUGACGCUCAUGCACGAAAGCGUGGGGAGCAAACAGGAUUAGAUACCC